GAUGAACGCUAGCUACAGGCUUAACACAUGCAAGUCGAGGGGAAACGGCAUCGAAAGCUUGCUUUUGAUGGGCGUCGACCGGCGCACGGGUGAGUAACGCGUAUCCAACCUGCCCAUCACUUGGGAAUAACCUUGCGAAAGUAAGACUAAUGCCCAAUGACAUCCCACGAAGGCAUCCGAAUGGGAUUAAAGAUUUAUCGGUGAUGGAUGGGGAUGCGUCUGAUUAGCUUGUUGGCGGGGUGACGGCCCACCAAGGCAACGAUCAGUAGGGGUUCUGAGAGGAAGGUCCCACACAUUGGAACUGAGACACGGUCCAAACUCCUACGGGAGGCAGCAGUGAGGAAUAUUGGUCAAUGGGCGAGAGCCUGAACCAGCCAAGUAGCGUGCAGGAUGACGGCCCUAUGGGUUGUAAACUGCUUUUAUAAGGGAAUAAAGUGGGUCACGUGUGACUUUUUGCAUGUACCUUAUGAAUAAGGACCGGCUAAUUCCGUG
RNAcentral lists this ribosomal RNA (492 nucleotides) under uncultured bacterium. Its description in RNAcentral is "partial 16S ribosomal RNA". It matches the Rfam family "Bacterial small subunit ribosomal RNA", at positions 28 to 507 of the family's 1533-position model. The record is from RNAcentral.